RNAcentral lists this ribosomal RNA (207 nucleotides) under uncultured bacterium. RNAcentral describes it as "partial 16S ribosomal RNA". It matches the Rfam family "Bacterial small subunit ribosomal RNA", at positions 568 to 774 of the family's 1533-position model. The record is from RNAcentral.
AGCGUAGAUGGGUUGUUAAGUCAGUUGUGAAAGUUUGCGGCUCAACCGUAAAAUUGCAAUUGAUACUGGCAGUCUUGAGUACAGUUGAGGUAGGCGGAAUUCGUGGUGUAGCGGUGAAAUGCUUAGAUAUCACGAAGAACUCCGAUUGCGAAGGCAGCUUACUAACCUGUAACUGACAUUGGUGCUCGAAAGUGUGGGUAUCAAACA